Non-coding RNA from Lepisosteus oculatus (spotted gar), 621 nucleotides. Lineage: Eukaryota; Metazoa; Chordata; Actinopteri; Semionotiformes; Lepisosteidae. The record is from RefSeq and is a predicted model, not a curated record.
GAUCCACUCCGGGUUUUCCGUAGCCGGAAGUCCGGAUCCUUUACGAUGCACGCAAGACUACGUUACAGAUCACCGGAGUACAUUAUACAGGCAAAUAAAGAUAAGGAGGUCCCACGACAGCAGGUAGCUGCUCCAGCUAUCUGUCACUGGAGUGGUUUGCUGUCGAGGGAGAAAAAGGGCUCUGCCUCAGGGGCAUCACGGCUCCACAGAUCCUACCCAAUGCAGAGUGUUUCUGCCCUCCUGAUGGCCCCUGUAUUUUAGAAGGAUUCUUCCCUUUCGCUUGCUUAAACCAUCAGCAUUUCAUCGGCAUUGGUGUCCUUCCUGAAGCGGGGUAGAAUACUCUGCACUGUGCUGAGGGUUAUAUCACUCAGGAACACAGCAGACUGUGUUGAACAACAACAACAACAAUACACCCUCUACAGCCUUUGAACACUUCUACAAGAAACCAAAAUCUAAAACAUGCCAAACAAAAGGCAGCAACAAGGAAAUGUGUUGGUUAGCAUUACUAUUGUAAAUGCUUUGAUUACCACACUAACCCUUAAGCAUAAGUUAUGAAAUUACUUACUUAUACUGAAACUUUGAGAAACAAAAUAGGAAAAAAUAAAACUUGUUUGGCAUUAC